AUUCCGGUUGAUCCUGCCGGAGGCCAUUGCUAUCGGAGUCCGACUUAGCCAUGCUAGUUGCGCGAGUUUAGACUCGCAGCAGAUAGCUCAGUAACACGUGGUCAAGCUACCCUGCAGACACGGACAACCUCGGGAAACUGAGGCUAAUCCGCGAUAUCGAUCCCACGCUGGAAUAGCCGGGAUCAGCAAACGCUCCGGCGCUGCAGGAUGCGGCUGCGGCCGAUUAGGUAGACGGUGGGGUAACGGCCCACCGUGCCGAUAAUCGGUACGGGUUGUGAGAGCAAGAGCCCGGAGACGGAAU
RNAcentral lists this ribosomal RNA (301 nucleotides) under Halogeometricum salsisoli. RNAcentral describes it as "Halogeometricum sp. S1BR25-6 partial 16S ribosomal RNA". It matches the Rfam family "Archaeal small subunit ribosomal RNA", at positions 1 to 302 of the family's 1478-position model. Lineage: Archaea; Methanobacteriati; Methanobacteriota; Halobacteria; Halobacteriales; Haloferacaceae. The record is from RNAcentral.